UGCGCUUCUGAAAGAUAAAAUAGAUGAAGCCAGGCCUUUAGCUAAUGGUGCUUGUAUUCUUAAAAUAGGACCCUUGUAGACAGUUUCUGUCAGUCCAUGUUUUGGGUACUUAGCAUAUACUGCCUUCUAUAAUUAAUCAUCUUUUCCUGUAUCCAGAGACAGUCCCUGGCUAAUGCAGCUUCUGCAGGAAUAUUCCUUUCUUCCUCGCUGCCCUAAAAUGGCUAGGAGAAAAGUAGCAGCAGCCUGAGAUCAUGCAUGUCUGAAGAAAUGCUGAAGAUACAUGAGGCCAUAGGACAGGUAUCCUUCUUCUACCAUGAGCUUCCUCUCUGUCUCCCUGGCCUCUAGCUCCUUAACCUCCCCAAACUACCAGCUUGAAUUUGUAUGGGGCCCACCAGACUACUGGCCUGCCAUGACUGGGAAGAAUAUAGUCCAUAGAGGCUGGUCAUAAGCUGACACAACAUGAGUCC
Non-coding RNA from Phascolarctos cinereus (koala), 467 nucleotides. The record is from RefSeq and is a predicted model, not a curated record. NCBI's taxonomy places the organism in Eukaryota, Metazoa, Chordata, Mammalia, Diprotodontia, Phascolarctidae.